RNAcentral lists this unclassified non-coding RNA (390 nucleotides) under soil metagenome. Its description in RNAcentral is "partial contains 5.8S ribosomal RNA, internal transcribed spacer 2, and large subunit ribosomal RNA". The stretch from base 1 to 122 matches the Rfam family "5.8S ribosomal RNA", at positions 35 to 154 of the family's 154-position model. The record is from RNAcentral.
GAUGAAGAACGUAGCGAAAUGCGAUACUUGGUGUGAAUUGCAGAAUCCCGUGAACCAUCGAGUCUUUGAACGCAAGUUGCGCCCGAAGCCAUUAGGCCGAGGGCACGCCUGCCUGGGCGUCACACGUCGUUGCCCCCCCAUCUACUCCUUCGGGAUUGCGGGGGGCGGAUGAUGGCCUCUCGUGCGCCUCGUCGCGCGGUUGGCCUAAAUGCCAAGUCCUCGGCGACGCACGCCACGACAAUCGGUGGUUGCGAAACCUCGGUUGCCUGUCGUGUGCGGUCGUCGCGCAUCGAGGGCUCGAAAAAAUUGCCGGGCUUCGGCUCGACUUUCAACGCGACCCCAGGUCAGGCGGGGUUACCCGCUGAAUUUAAGCAUAUCAAUAACGGAGGA